ACGAACGCUGGCGGCGUGCUUAACACAUGCCAGUCGAACGGAAAGGCCCUGCUUGCAGGGUCCUCGAGUGGCGAACGGGUGAGUAACACGUGGGUGAUCUGCCCUGCACUUCGGGAUAAGCCUGGGAAACUGGGUCUAAUACCGGAUAGGAGCCAUUUUUAGUGUGAUGGUUGGAAAGUUUUUUCGGUGUAGGAUGAGCUCGCGGCCUAUCAGCUUGUUGGUGGGGUAAUGGCCUACCAAGGCGGCGACGGGUAGCCGGCCUGAGAGGGUGGACGGCCACAUUGGGACUGAGAGACGGCCCAGACUCCUACGGGAGGCAGCAGUGGGGAAUAUUGCACAAUGGGCGCAAGCCUGAUGCAGCGACGCCGCGUGGGGGAUGACGGCCUUCGGGUUGGAAACUCCUUUCGCUAGGGACGAAGCUUUUUGUGACGGUACCUAGAUAAGAAGCACCGGCUAACUACGUG
Molecule: ribosomal RNA, 464 nt
Filed under: uncultured bacterium
Lineage: Bacteria
Description: partial 16S ribosomal RNA
Rfam family: Bacterial small subunit ribosomal RNA
Source: RNAcentral